RNAcentral lists this ribosomal RNA (373 nucleotides) under uncultured organism. Its description in RNAcentral is "bacterial SSU rRNA". It matches the Rfam family "Bacterial small subunit ribosomal RNA", at positions 526 to 896 of the family's 1533-position model. The record is from RNAcentral.
CGUAGGGACCGAGCGUUGUCCGGAUUCAUUGGGCGUAAAGAGCUCGUAGGCGGCCACUCAAGUCGAAUGUGAAACCUCGAGGCUUAACCUCGAGCCUGCAUUCGAUACUGGGCGGCUAGAGUCUGGUAGGGGGAUCUGGAAUUCCUGGUGUAGCGGUGGAAUGCGCAGAUAUCAGGAGGAACACCGGUGGCGAAAGCGGGAUCCUGGGCCAGUACUGACGCUGAGGAGCGAAAGCGUGGGGAGCAAACAGGAUUAGAUACCCUGGUAGUCCACGCCGUAAACGAUGGGCGCUAGGUGUGGGAGGUCAUCGACUCCUUCCGUGCCGCAGCUAACGCAUUAAGCGCCCCGCCUGGGGAGUACGGCCGCAAGGCUA